AUUGAACGCUGGCGGCAGGCCUAACACAUGCAAGUCGAACGGUAACAGGAAGCAGCUUGCUGCUUCGCUGACGAGUGGCGGACGGGUGAGUAAUGUCUGGGAAGCUGCCUGAUGGAGGGGGAUAACUACUGGAAACGGUAGCUAAUACCGCAUAAUGUCGCAAGACCAAAGAGGGGGACCUUCGGGCCUCUUGCCAUCGGAUGUGCCCAGAUGGGAUUAGCUUGUUGGUGGGGUAACGGCUCACCAAGGCGACGAUCCCUAGCUGGUCUGAGAGGAUGACCAGCCACACUGGGACUGAGACACGGUCCAGACUCCUACGGGAGGCAGCAGUGGGGAAUAUUGCACAAUGGGCGCAAGCCUGGUGCAGCCAUGCCGCGUGUAUGAAGAAGGCCUUCGGGUUGUAAAGUACUUUCAGCGGGGAGGAAGGGAGUAAAGUUAAUACCUUUGCUCAUUGACGUUACCCGCAGAAGAAGCACCGGCUAACUCCGUG
Molecule: ribosomal RNA, 490 nt
Filed under: uncultured bacterium
Lineage: Bacteria
Description: partial 16S ribosomal RNA
Rfam family: Bacterial small subunit ribosomal RNA
Source: RNAcentral